This 1351-nucleotide ribosomal RNA is filed under the name uncultured bacterium. RNAcentral's name for it is "bacterial SSU rRNA". It matches the Rfam family "Bacterial small subunit ribosomal RNA", at positions 28 to 1381 of the family's 1533-position model. The record is from RNAcentral.
GACGAACGCUGGCGGCGUGCUUAACACAUGCAAGUCGAACGGAAAGCCUCUUCGGAGGUACUCGAGUGGCGAACGGGUGAGUAACACGUGGGCAAUCUGCCCUGCACUUCGGGAUAAGCCUGGGAAACUGGGUCUAAUACCGGAUAGGACCUCAAGACGCAUGUCUUCUGGUGGAAAGCUUUUGCGGUGUGGGAUGGGCCCGCGGCCUAUCAGCUUGUUGGUGGGGUGACGGCCUACCAAGGCGACGACGGGUAGCCGGCCUGAGAGGGUGUCCGGCCACACUGGGACUGAGAUACGGCCCAGACUCCUACGGGAGGCAGCAGUGGGGAAUAUUGCACAAUGGGCGCAAGCCUGAUGCAGCGACGCCGCGUGGGGGAUGACGGCCUUCGGGUUGUAAACCUCUUUCACCAUCGACGAAGGUCCGGGUUUUCUCGGAUUGACGGUAGGUGGAGAAGAAGCACCGGCCAACUACGUGCCAGCAGCCGCGGUAAUACGUAGGGUGCGAGCGUUGUCCGGAAUUACUGGGCGUAAAGAGCUCGUAGGUGGUUUGUCGCAUUGUUCGUGAAAUCUCACGGCUUAACUGUGAGCGUGCGGGCGAUACGGGCAGACUAGAGUACUGCAGGGGAGACUGGAAUUCCUGGUGUAGCGGUGGAAUGCGCAGAUAUCAGGAGGAACACCGGUGGCGAAGGCGGGUCUCUGGGCAGUAACUGACGCUGAGGAGCGAAAGCGUGGGGAGCGAACAGGAUUAGAUACCCUGGUAGUCCACGCCGUAAACGGUGGGUACUAGGUGUGGGUUUCCUUCCUUGGGAUCCGUGCCGUAGCUAACGCAUUAAGUACCCCGCCUGGGGAGUACGGCCGCAAGGCUAAAACUCAAAGGAAUUGACGGGGGCCCGCACAAGCGGCGGAGCAUGUGGAUUAAUUCGAUGCAACGCGAAGAACCUUACCUGGGUUUGACAUGCACAGGACGCGUCUAGAGAUAGGCGUUCCCUUGUGGCCUGUGUGCAGGUGGUGCAUGGCUGUCGUCAGCUCGUGUCGUGAGAUGUUGGGUUAAGUCCCGCAACGAGCGCAACCCUUGUCUCAUGUUGCCAGCGGGUAAUGCCGGGGACUCGUGAGAGACUGCCGGGGUCAACUCGGAGGAAGGUGGGGAUGACGUCAAGUCAUCAUGCCCCUUAUGUCCAGGGCUUCACACAUGCUACAAUGGCCGGUACAAAGGGCUGCGAUGCCGUAAGGUUAAGCGAAUCCUUUUAAAGCCGGUCUCAGUUCGGAUUGGGGUCUGCAACUCGACCCCAUGAAGUCGGAGUCGCUAGUAAUCGCAGAUCAGCAACGCUGCGGUGAAUACGUUCCCGGGCCU